Molecule: ribosomal RNA, 773 nt
Filed under: Hemicycliophora lutosoides
Lineage: Eukaryota; Metazoa; Nematoda; Chromadorea; Rhabditida; Hemicycliophoridae
Description: partial large subunit ribosomal RNA
Rfam family: Eukaryotic large subunit ribosomal RNA
Source: RNAcentral
UACAAGUACCCGUGAGGGAAAGUUGCAAAGCACUUUGAAGAGAGAGUUAAAGAGGACGUGAAACCGGUAAGAUGGAAACGGAUAGAGCCAGCGAAGUCGCUCGUAUUCAGCCAAAGACUCAGGGCCGCUUGCUGUCGUGUUUCUAAUCGAGCACGGCGGUACGUGCGUUCUGUUUUGAGGUGCAUUUGCGGGCGUUUGCGCCGAGACUUGCGGAGUAGCUCCUGGAACUGCGUCUAGAGGCUUCCCUCUGGGUUGUACCUGGUCGUGGCUACAGUUGUUUACUCUGCUCGUACCCGAGUCAGGCCUACGGCGUCUGGUUGAGUCGUUGUUUUCAGGCGGUGGUAUCGCAUGCGAUGCCUAGCUUGGGGGCUGCGGCUUAGCCUGAUGUCCCUGUCUCGCUCUCGGUGUAGAAGCUGGUCAUCUCUCCGACCCGUCUUGAAACACGGACCAAGGAGUUUAGCGUAUGCGCGAGCCAUUGGGUGCAAAACCCACAGGCAUAAUGAAAGUAAAGGCCCAGUCGCUGGGCUGACAUGUGAGCGCUAGGGCUUCGGCUCUGGCGUGCAGCAUGGUCCCGUUGCAGUCGCUUGCGGCGCAGCGGAGACAGAGCGUAUGCGCUGAGACCCGAAAGAUGGUGAACUAUUCCUGAGCAGGACGAAGCCAGAGGAAACUCUGGUGGAAGUCCGAAGCGAUUCUGACGUGCAAAUCGAUCGUCUGACUUGGGUAUAGGGGCGAAAGACUAAUCGAACCAUCUAGUAGCUGGUUUCCUUCCGAAA